CAAUAGCGUAUAUUUAAGUUGUUGCAGUUAAAAAGCUCGUAGUUGGAUUUCGGGUGGGACGCAGCGGUCUCGCAUUGCGUCUGUACUGCUGCAGCCCUCCUUCUUGCCGGGGGCGGCCUCUCGGACUUCACUGUCUGGGGGUCAGAAUCGGCGAUGUUACUUUGAGUAAAUUAGAGUGUUCAAAGCAAGCUUACGCUCUGAAUAUAAUAGCAUGGGAUAACACGACAGGACUCUGGCCUAUCGUGUUGGUCUAUAGGACCAGAGUAAUGAUUAAGAGGGACAGUCGGGGGCAUUCGUAUUCCGUUGUCAGAGGUGAAAUUCUUGGAUUUACGGAAGACGAACAUCUGCGAAAGCAUUUGCCAAGGAUGUUUUCAUUGA
This 378-nucleotide ribosomal RNA is filed under the name uncultured eukaryote. Its description in RNAcentral is "partial 18S ribosomal RNA". It matches the Rfam family "Eukaryotic small subunit ribosomal RNA", at positions 592 to 976 of the family's 1831-position model. The record is from RNAcentral.